This 439-nucleotide long non-coding RNA is filed under the name Olea europaea (common olive). Its description in RNAcentral is "long non-coding RNA (OEUR_LNC005489)". Lineage: Eukaryota; Viridiplantae; Streptophyta; Magnoliopsida; Lamiales; Oleaceae. The record is from RNAcentral.
UACAAAUAAUGAUUGUGGAGUACGAGUGUUUGAUAUGGAGAGAUUUCAGCUUAUAAAAUUUCUGCAGAAAAAUAGAGGAGAACGGGAAAACCAAAAUAUGCAUUGCAGCAACUAUGGUGCAAACAAAAGCAACUUAGAACAAACAAAAUUUGAAGAUGAAUAUAGAAAGAUGUAGCAUGCAAACUUGUACCUUCAACACAUCAUAUGAGCAACCAUAGACAAAUUUCAAUUUACUCCUCAUAUCAAGAACAGAUCCAAGUGCAACAAAUAUCAAGCUAUUGGAAACAUGUUCAAGAACCUCCACCAAAGAAAAUUCCAGCAAACUUCUUAUAUAUUUCCCAUCACAGUAGAAAAAUGUCUAAAUGAAACUCAACUUCCCCAGUAUAUGAACAUGGAAAAUAGCAGUUAUAUAGACAUUCCAUUAAAUAAGACUAUAUGU